UAUCCCUAUUUUUUCUUUUAUCAGGUCACGGCCCUUAGGAAAGGGCUACCCAAGCGACGCCAGGCUGGCCCUCCUUUUCAUGCAGCCGCCCGACCAUCAAUCUGUCCUCCGAUACACCCCAGUAAUUGCAUUGGAGAAAUUGCUACACCUACUGCAGGAGACGUUAUAGAUUGGACUGCUGCUUAUGGGGAGUGACCUUAAUUAAGGAUUUGUUCUCCUACAAAGCUGGCAACCCUCGGUAGCCCUUUCGGAAAUCUAGCGGCUGAAAAUGCCUCGGGUCCCAUUUUCUGGCUCAAGAGAUGCUCCGUCAUUAUCUCCCUGCUCUUUCCAGCUCAAUGGGUACAUGAGAUCAGGGGGACUCUUAGCUAUUUUGGAAGGAACUCCACAACUCAGUCCAUGCUUAUUGUGACCGCACGCAUGUGAUGAAAAUACGU
Molecule: non-coding RNA, 434 nt
Organism: Pogona vitticeps (central bearded dragon)
Lineage: Eukaryota; Metazoa; Chordata; Lepidosauria; Squamata; Agamidae
Source: RefSeq, a predicted model, not a curated record